This 23-nucleotide non-coding RNA is filed under the name Cricetulus griseus (Chinese hamster). The record is from RNAcentral. Lineage: Eukaryota; Metazoa; Chordata; Mammalia; Rodentia; Cricetidae.
AAAAGGACAGUCGGAAGAAAUUC